CUCCACCUUUGGGCAAGAUGGCUGCGCCCACUGGCUUUGCCGGGAGGGAGGGGCUGCUAUUCUCACGCGCCGAUCUGGAUUCAGAUCAGUUCUGUUCUCUGGUCUCCCGAGGCCCUGGGUUUAUGGGGUCCCCACGGACGGAAGCUUUCCCCCCAUCAGUGGGUUUCCACUGAACCAGCGGCAGGAGUCCUGGAUGAUCCCCCGGUCGCGCGGCCCCUCCCCCACUCCUUCGUGACCCACGCCGCAGCCAUCGCAGACUCUAGGGGAGGGAGCAAUGUUCUCUCCUAUCGUUCCAGCACCUCCAAGGCCAAAAUAACACAUUGGUUAUAGACGAAGCUCUCCGUGUGCCCUUUCCAGACUCCACUUCCCUCUCUCCUCCUCCUAUGAUCUGGCUCCUGAACUUGGUGGCCCUCCUGAUCUGCCUGGAAAUGGAUUUGUUAACUUGGAAUGCCAUCACCAAGAUUUAACGUAAGAAAAGUUCAUUUUCUUGGCCGUGGAAGUCAAAUAAACCCCAAAUCGAAAGAUAUAAGCAGGGUGUAUGUUUUCACGUGUUAAGACAUCUUCCAUAGCUCAAGGGGAAAUUCAUGAAAGAUCUCAAGACUCUGAGCUUCCCUGGUAAAGAGGACAGGGCGUGUAAGUCACGGCCAAGGCUCCAGACGCCGCUACAUGAGGCGGCACCUGCGGAAAACCCGACUGAAGCGUUAACAGAACACAGCAUCUGUGCUUCGCUUUCCUAAACUCUAAUAAAAAUAAUGCUUCGUGCCUCC
Molecule: long non-coding RNA, 767 nt
Filed under: Equus caballus (horse)
Lineage: Eukaryota; Metazoa; Chordata; Mammalia; Perissodactyla; Equidae
Description: lncRNA (ENSECAG00000048327.1)
Source: RNAcentral